Alligator mississippiensis (American alligator) is the source of this 682-nucleotide long non-coding RNA. RefSeq lists it as uncharacterized. The transcript is spliced from 2 exons. NCBI's taxonomy places the organism in Eukaryota, Metazoa, Chordata, Crocodylia, Alligatoridae. The record is from RefSeq and is a predicted model, not a curated record.
UUCAGACAUGACCUCUACUUUCUGAUUGAGAAUGGAGUUGGAAGACCCCAGGGAGGACUAAGAGGCUCAGAUCCUGGCACCCAUUUCCCAGCAUAGGCUCUUGCUUACAGAAGCACUUUAAGAGAGAAUUGAAGUAUUAAGAGACUCAAGAGUCCCAAAUCCCUCAGCCUCUCCUCGUACGACUUGCCUGCCCUCAAGGCAUUGGAUCAUAUGAGUGACUCCUCUCUGGACUCUGUCAAGCUUUUCCACAUCCCUCCUGAAGUGGGGGGCCUAAAAUUGGACACAGUACUCCAGCUGCUGCCUCACCAAGGCCAAGUAAAGCGGGAGGAUGACAUCCCUGGUUUUGCUUGAGAUGCAUCAGUGGAUGCACGCCAGAGUUUGCUUUGCCAGCCACAGCAUCACAUUGGUGACUCAUGCUCAUCUUGUGGUCAAUCAUGACUCCAAGUUUAAUAUCCUAUAUUUUGCAGGAAAAAUAAGUAAGAUACCUAACUAAAUAUUUGUUAGGUGAUAAUUUUAAUUUACUUUUUUCUUUAAUGUUCAAUUCUGUCAUUUUAUUCCUGCACAGUUGUACUCUAACAACAAGAAGACAUACUGUUUGGAAAUUAAAAUAGGAUUAUAUUUCAAAGUGAAUGCUUUUCUUAUAGAUUUAUUUUCUUGAAAUAAACCAGUAUGGUUGUGAAUA